GAUGAACGCUAGCGGCAGGCCUAACACAUGCAAGUCGAGGGAGAAGCCUUUCGGGGCAGAAACCGGCGCACGGGUGCGUAACGCGUAUGCAACCUACCUUUCACAGGGGGAUAGCCCGAAGAAAUUUGGAUUAAUACCCCAUAAUAUUGUUGGAUGGCAUCAUCUGGCAAUUAAAACUGAGGUGGUGAAAGAUGGGCAUGCGUCCUAUUAGCUAGUUGGAGUGGUAACGGCACCCCAAGGCUACGAUAGGUAGGGGUCCUGAGAGGGAGAUCCCCCACACUGGUACUGAGACAGGGACCAGACUCCUACGGGAGGCAGCAGUGAGGAAUAUUGGUCAAUGGUCGGAAGACUGAACCAGCCAUGCCGCGUGCAGGAAGAAUGCCUUAUGGGUUGUAAACUGCUUUUAUAUGGGAAGAAUAAGGUGUACGUGUACAUNGANGACGGUNCCA
RNAcentral lists this ribosomal RNA (449 nucleotides) under uncultured bacterium. RNAcentral describes it as "bacterial SSU rRNA". It matches the Rfam family "Bacterial small subunit ribosomal RNA", at positions 28 to 480 of the family's 1533-position model. The record is from RNAcentral.